This 493-nucleotide ribosomal RNA is filed under the name uncultured bacterium. Its description in RNAcentral is "partial 16S ribosomal RNA". It matches the Rfam family "Bacterial small subunit ribosomal RNA", at positions 29 to 506 of the family's 1533-position model. The record is from RNAcentral.
ACGAACGCUGGCGGCGUGCCUAAUACAUGCAAGUAGAACGCUGAAGGAGGAGCUUGCUUCUCUGGAUGAGUUGCGAACGGGUGAGUAACGCGUAGGUAACCUGCCUGGUAGCGGGGGAUAACUAUUGGAAACGAUAGCUAAUACCGCAUAAUAGCAGUUGUUGCAUGACAACUGUUUGAAAGGUGCAAUUGCACCACUACCAGAUGGACCUGCGUUGUAUUAGCUAGUUGGUGGGGUAACGGCUCACCAAGGCGACGAUACAUAGCCGACCUGAGAGGGUGAUCGGCCACACUGGGACUGAGACACGGCCCAGACUCCUACGGGAGGCAGCAGUAGGGAAUCUUCGGCAAUGGACGGAAGUCUGACCGAGCAACGCCGCGUGAGUGAAGAAGGUUUUCGGAUCGUAAAGCUCUGUUGUAAGAGAAGAACGAGUGUGAGAGUGGAAAGUUCACACUGUGACGGUAUCUUACCAGAAAGGGACGGCUAACUACGU